Molecule: ribosomal RNA, 253 nt
Filed under: uncultured bacterium
Lineage: Bacteria
Description: partial 16S ribosomal RNA
Rfam family: Bacterial small subunit ribosomal RNA
Source: RNAcentral
UACGUAGGGUGCGAGCGUUAAUCGGAAUUACUGGGCGUAAAGCGUGCGCAGGCGGUUUUGUAAGCCAGAUGUGAAAUCCCCGGGCUUAACCUGGGAAUGGCAUUUGGGACUGCAAGGCUCGAGUGCGGCAGAGGAGACUGGAAUUCCUGGUGUAGCAGUGAAAUGCGUAGAUAUCAGGAGGAACACCGGUGGCGAAGGCGGCUUUCUGGACAGUAACUGACGCUGAGGCGCGAAAGCCGGGGGAGCAAACAGG